UACGGGCAGACUAGAGUGCAGUAGGGGAGACUGGAAUUCCUGGUGUAGCGGUGGAAUGCGCAGAUAUCAGGAGGAACACCGAUGGCGAAGGCAGGUCUCUGGGCUGUAACUGACGCUGAGGAGCGAAAGCAUGGGGAGCGAACAGGAUUAGAUACCCUGGUAGUCCAUGCCGUAAACGUUGGGCACUAGGUGUGGGGACCAUUCCACGGUUUCCGCGCCGCAGCUAACGCAUUAAGUGCCCCGCCUGGGGAGUACGGCCGCAAGGCUAAAACUCAAAGGAAUUGACGGGGGCCCGCACAAGCGGCGGAGCAUGCGGAUUAAUUCGAUGCAACGCGAAGAACCUUACCAAGGCUUGACAUGUU
RNAcentral lists this ribosomal RNA (362 nucleotides) under Micrococcus luteus. RNAcentral describes it as "bacterial SSU rRNA". It matches the Rfam family "Bacterial small subunit ribosomal RNA", at positions 631 to 990 of the family's 1533-position model. Lineage: Bacteria; Bacillati; Actinomycetota; Actinomycetes; Micrococcales; Micrococcaceae. The record is from RNAcentral.